This 468-nucleotide ribosomal RNA is filed under the name uncultured bacterium. RNAcentral's name for it is "partial 16S ribosomal RNA". It matches the Rfam family "Bacterial small subunit ribosomal RNA", at positions 28 to 507 of the family's 1533-position model. The record is from RNAcentral.
GACGAACGCUGGCGGCGUGCUUAACACAUGCAAGUCGAACGGAAAGGCCCUGCUUUUGUGGGGUGCUCGAGUGGCGAACGGGUGAGUAACACGUGAGUAACCUGCCCUUGACUUUGGGAUAACUUCAGGAAACUGGGGCUAAUACCGGAUAGGAGCUCCUGCUGCAUGGUGGGGGUUGGAAAGUUUCGGCGGUUGGGGAUGGACUCGCGGCUUAUCAGCUUGUUUGUGGGGUAGUGGCUUACCAAGGCUUUGACGGGUAGCCGGCCUGAGAGGGUGACCGGCAAAAUUGGGACUGAGAUACGGCCCAGACUCCUACGGGAGGCAGCAGGGGGGAAUAUUGCACAAUGGGCGGAAGCCUGAUGCAGCAACGCCGCGUGCGGGAUGACGGCCUUCGGGUUGUAAACCGCUUUCGCCUGUGACGAAGCGUGAGUGACGGUAAUGGGUAAAGAAGCACCGGCUAACUACGUG